RNAcentral lists this ribosomal RNA (424 nucleotides) under uncultured bacterium. RNAcentral describes it as "partial 16S ribosomal RNA". It matches the Rfam family "Bacterial small subunit ribosomal RNA", at positions 360 to 776 of the family's 1533-position model. The record is from RNAcentral.
AAUUUUGGACAAUGUGCGCAAGCCUGAUCCAGCCAUGCCGCGUUAGUGAAGAAGGCCUUCGGGAUGAAAAGCUCUUUCGGACUGAAAGUAAUCGCUCAGGCUAAUACCCUGCGCGGAUGUCGAUACCGACAUAAGAAACACCGUCUAACUACGUGCUCGCAGCCGCGGUAAUACGUAGAGUGCGAGCGUUAAUCGUAAUUACUGGGCGUAAAGCGUGCGCAGGCGGUUGAUUAAGACAGGCGUGAAAUCCCCGGGCUUAACCUGGGAACUGCGCUUGUGACUGGUCAGCUAGAGUACGGCAGAGGGGGGUGGAAUUCCACGUGUAGCAGUGAAAUGCGUAGAGAUGUGGAGGAACACCGAUGGCGAAGGCAGCCCCCUGGGCCGAUACUGACGCUCAUGCACGAAAGCGUGGGUAGCAAACAGG